AAUCCGAAUUUUAGUACAAACUUCACUUUCCGGGUACAAAGUUUGUGGCGAAGGCCCAUGCAUUGUUGUUAACGGGGUCGGCAAGAUGGUCAGCAAGGUUCUCCAACGGACCCUUUCCGGUAACAAUAGCCUGAACAAAGAAUCCGAACAUUGAGAACAUUGCUAGUCUUCCAUUCUUCAGCUCCUUCACCUUUAGCUCGGCAAAAGCUUCCGGAUCCUCAGCAAGACCCAAUGGGUCGAAGCUACCACCCGGGUAAAGUGGGUCGACAACUUCACCGAGGGGCCCACCGGCAAUUCUGUAGCCCUCAAUAGCUCCCAUCAAUACAACCUGGACACCCCAUAUGGCCAAUAUGCUCUGGGCGUGGACCAAGCUUGGGUUGCCCAAAUAAUCGAGCCCACCCUCACUGAAGAUUUGUGAUCCGGCCUUGAACCAAACCGCCUCACCGAAUUUAACACCGUUGCGUGCCAAAAGCUCGGGGAAGACACAUCCAAGAGCACCAAGCAUGGCCCACCUGGAGUGGAUCACUUCAAGUUCACGGUUCUUGGCGAAUGUCUCGGGGUCGGCGGAAAGUCCGGCGGUGUCCCAGCCGUAGUCGCCGGGGAACUCACCGGUCAAGUAGCUAGGUGCCUCACCGGAGAAUGGGCCCAAGUACUUGACACGGUCAGGGCCGUACCAUGGGCUGCUGGAUGCGGCGGGCUUGGGCUUGGCGGCGGUUUUCCUCAUUGAGAUCCUGCCGGAGCUGGUGAAUUCGGGGGUGGACUUGACUGCCUGUCCGGCGAAAGAUGGGGAAGAUAGAGCCAUUGAAGAGGCAGCCAUUGUUGUAAUUUCUCAAAUGAAAGACUAUAUGUAUUUGCAAGGUUGUUUGUUGAAUGGAUGAUAUUUUCCAUGGCAGACAUACUAAGGUAUUUAUAUGGAGUGGCCGUUAUCUCUUGAUAUCAUUAUCUGUAUUCCUAUUGGUAGGUGACAUUUGGCAAUCUUGACGUGGCAUGUCCAUUUUGGCAACGGCUAUCAGCCUAUCACUAUGGAGGUUUUAUCUAUUCUACACCCGGUGAAGGUUACACCGGGUGAUUUUUCACCGUUGAUCUACACACACCAAUGUGGGUGUGUGUGUGUUUGUGUGUAUAUUAAUGGUAAAGAUCUACCCGGUGUAUUUCACCCGGUGUAGGAUCUCAAAAGCCCACUAUGGAUAUAUGGGUAUUUCCCAUUGGCCUAUAAGGUUUUGCCAAGUGUGCGGUUGGAGAGUUCUGCAUGGAUAUUUCGCACGUGAGAAGCCAACGGCUACAGAAAUGUGUUUGUCUUUCUUAAGGCAGGGAUUAUAUAGAAGAAAUGUUGUGAAAAGGUGAUUAAAUAUAAGGUAUAAUUACUAUAGUGUAAAUAAUAAAGGCUGCAGAUAUUUGCAAGACGAAAAUUACUAAGUGCAAGACCUUACUUCAUGCAAGACCAAAAUAUAAAUAAAUUUACUAAGAUCAAGACUGAAAAUUACAAAUAUAACCCCAAUAAUAAUUUAGAUAUUAUUAAUUUAAAUUAAGCUAAUUGCUAUUGCAAGACCAAAAAAAAAAUACAAAAAAAAGAAUAAAAAGAGAGGGAACGCACUCCCCCAACAAAACACCAACAUCUUCUUCUUCACCCUCAUUUUACACAUUUUUUUCCACAAAAAAAUCUUCCAUAUUCUCCAAAACCCUUAUCACAUAAAACCCUCAAAUCUUACUAAGACUUUAAAAGAAGGACAUUAUGGAUACACAAGACAUAAAUAUGGAGGAUUCUAAGGUCGAAGAACACAAAGAGGUAAGAAAUAUUGUACUUUGUGAUCGUUUUUCUCGUUUUUCGCACCUCAUUUCACGUACAAAAAAUUCGACAUGUACAGGUCGAAAUAUCCGCUUAAUAUCGACAUAGUAGUGUCGCAAAUUUCAACAUAAUUCGACACUCCUUAACUGUCGAAUUAUAUUGAAAUUUUCGACAUUAUGGUGUCGAUAUUAAGCGCAUAUUUCGACGCUGGUGUGUCGAUUUUUUACUGUUACAAUUGUGUAACCAAAUUUCCGAUUUUUCUUGCAGAGUUUUGUACCUAGCGCGUGUAGUGGAGCUAAUGCAUGUAGGGAAUUAGCUUUGGAUUAUUCACAUGAAUUUACCACCCACGAGGAGUUUGCAACAAGGGACAAUUUAGUCACAUGGGUGCGCGAAGUUGGUAUGCGACUAGGAAUGAUAAUGUCAGUAAAGUCUUCAAAUUUGGGAAACCCAUCCAAAUUUGAGUACGAGCUUAAUUCAAGCAAAGAUAGUUGUUCCCCAAAGGUAAUUUUUUUGAAAUUUUUAGCUCAUAGUUCAUUUUUUGGUUUCUCAUUUAGUAAUACGUGAUAUUGGUUAAACAUUGUAGACUCCUAUUUCUGGUAUCCAAAAGCAACGUGAACAGCUUAUGCCGCAGCCGAUCACUGUAUCGAUGGUAACCGACAUCUUCAAUCGAAGCACCGGUAAAUCGACGGUGUUGGAAAAACUACCGGUAAUAUAUGCGUAAAAAUAUAUCAGUACAAUAUCGACACCAGCGUGUCGAAAAAAACAACAAUUUUCGACGCUCUAGCAUCGAAAUAUGUCACAUUUUUCGACAUCAACAUGUCAAUAUUUAUCAUAAUUUUCGACAUCAAUAUGUCGAUAUUUCGCUGUAAUUUUGUUUCUCAUUCUGUAUUACUAAUUUAACCUUCUUAUGUGCAGGUUCGAAAAAAAACUACCAAGUAUAUAUAUAUUAAACAAAUACAUCUGAAGUUCCGAAGAUAUGUUGGAGAUAUAAUAAAUGUUGCGUCAGAUGGUCAUUGUGGAUUUCGGGCGGUUGCAUCAAUGAUGGGCUUUGGGGAAGAUAAUUGGAGUCUAGUACGAAGAGAUUUGGUCGAUGAGCUCAUUAUGAAUGAUGCUAUCUACAUGAAUAUCCACAAAGUUCGAGAUACGCUUGAUGAAUUGGAAGCAAAAAUGAGGUGUUCGGUUACACCUGCCCCUUAUGAAAAUUGGAUGUCGUUUCCGGAUAUGGGUCAUUUUAUUGCUUCUAAAUAUGACAUUGUGCUCGUACUGAUAACGCAGCUGCAGUGUCUUACAUUUCUCCCACUCUCUAGUGACCCCAUCGUGUAACUAACGGUCCCUCAAUCUCGCCGGACCUAACCGUCGGUGUGAGACGGGGGAAAUGCUCGUAAAUCCAACCCUGAAGAAACGUCAAAUAUCCACUGAUUUGCUUCGUAUUAGCCCUUGAAGCAUCCGACAACGCCUCAUAGAGCAGACACAAACAAGCUGUACCCCAUGCGUAAGUCCCAAUAUUUUCCAAAUCUUCUAACAAACACAACAACUGCAGUGUACCCAUAUUCCCCGUCUUGUCCUGGAAUAUCGUACAUGACAAUACGUACAACAAAAAUGCCCUUGUCGCACACGUCUUUUUAUUCUCAUCAUCAAUAUCUGUCACAGAACUGAAAGUACUACGCAACCACUCCAACUUAAGCGCCUUCUGAUUUUGACCCCAACAUUUAUCCGUCGAUUCAAGCACUACUCCGAGAAUUCGAUUUACGAUUGCUUGUGACGAUGGCCCCGUCUUACUAAUUUGUUGAAUAAAUACCGGCCGUCCCACCACUGGCAAACCUAUCAAGCUGCUGACAUCGUCUAGCGUGAUAGUCAUCUCCCCAAAUGGUAAAUGAAACGUACAAGUUGCUGGUUGCCACCGCUCUAUGAAAGUCAACACCAAUGCACUAUCUAUCACCUUGUACGAAUGACGUACAAGGGGCAUCAAACCGGACCUCUCGACAACCUCGGUCAUAAAAGGAGCCAUCCGCCACUUCUCCAACAUUGUUGUGUGAUUAUGAACCCUCACACUUUCGCGCUCCUACAAUUUUAAUAAAAAUAAACAUUCAAUCAAUAAAGUAAAUAACUUCAAUAACAUAUGUAUAUGUGUGUCUAUAAGUGUAAAAGUACCUUUCCGGACAAAAUCUGUCGGGCGAUAUGAUUCUCAAACUGCGGCAUCAAGUCUGGUAUUUGUGGUCCUCUGGGGCCAGCCGAUUGGCUACUAGAUCCACCAACUUCGGUGGUCGAUGUGAGCGGUGGAUCCUCAAGUAUGGACAAUGAAGGCUCAACAUCGGUAGGUAAAUGUGUACGAUUGGCCGGAGGAUCGACCCGAGUAGCUUGAGAAUCGCCACGUCGAACUUUACGAUUGACCAAUGCUUUUCUCUUGCGCUGAGAAGCAGUUUGGGGAAUACGCGGUUCCACUGGAAAAAUAUAAAUAUAAUAUUAAUCAUUUAUAUAAAAAAAAAAAAAAAGUUUGCAAAAAAAUCAGUUUACCAGUCAAUUUUCGACAUCAUAGUGUCGAUAUUUGUACACAAAAUCGACAUAACUCUGUGUCGAAAAUUGUAUACAAAUUCGACACAGCAAUGUGGAAUAUUGCUCCAAAACUCGACACCGGGUUUAUGUCGAAAUUUUGUACACAUAUCGACAUUGAGAUGUCGAAAAAAGGUCCAAUAAUCGACAAUUGUUUGCUGUCGAAAUUUGAUUAAAAAAUCGACACCAGUGUGUCGAAAAUUUGCCAAAAAAUCGACAAGUACAGGUCGUUUUUUGUAAAACCGCAACUCCUUCAACAAUAGUGCUACAAUCGAACCCUAGAAUCAUCAACUAUGUUCUAAAAUGACUUGAAUUCAUUAUUCUAACAAUAAAAUUAUGUUUAUCACAUUUAUUUCUCAAAAAAAAGUUAAUUCAAAAAGUAAUUUUUACUUGCUUUUCGUGAGAUUGUUGUGGCGGGGUUGGGGCAACAACGGACUUCAACGGCGACGGGGAGGUGGUGGACUUCAACGGCGACGGCGACGGGGCGACGACGACGGGGCGACGAUUGAGUGCUGCAAUUGAUUUUUUUGUUUUCUUCUUUCCUUCUUCCCUCCUCGUUUUUCAAUUCUCAAUUCAAUUUCUUUUUUCUUUCUUUUUUUUUUUAUUUUUUCUUUUUUAAAUUGGUCUUGCAAAAGGAAAUUAAUAAAAUAAUUUUUAGGCUGCGGCUAUAUGCAAUACUCAUUCAACUUGUGCAAGACCAAAUUAAAGAAAGAUUCCAAAAGAUUCUAUUUUAUUAAGAUGGAAUGACAAGUAUGCCCAUAAAUUAAAUUGGCUUUUUUUUCUCAUGUAAGACCAAAUACAAAUAAUGAGAAAAAAACAAAAAUCGACACCAAGGUGUCGAAAAACUAUGCUACAAAUCGACACUUAAGCGUCGAAUUUCAUAGGUAAAAAUCGACAUUGACAUGUCGAAUUUAUAGCACAAAUUCAAAUGUCGAAUUUUAUACCUCAAAAUCGACAUCUAAAUGUCGAAUUUUAUACCUCAAAAUCGACAUCUAAAUGUCGAUUUUUAGCUGUAAAAUUCGACCUGUACAUGUCGAAUUCGUUUGUGCGGGAUUUUUUUUGGAAAAUCGAUAUUCUAGCUAAAAAAACCCAUAAAUGCAUACAUUCUUGGGUUCUUCCAUCGUAAAAUCUUCUAUUUUGAUGUCUCCUGACUCCAUACUUGCCAUCUUUGUAAGAUUUGUUGAGUUUUGAUGAUUUUGAAUUUCAAGGUUUUGCGGGUUAAUGGAGGAGGAAGGAGAAAGGUCUUGUGGGUUUUGGAAGAUGGAGAAGAUGAUAGUUGAUCUUGUGGUUUUGUGGUCUUGUGAUAGGGUUUUUUGUGUUUUUGAAUUUUUGGUCUUGCAUAUUUGGAAUUUUUUAUUUUUUUAAUAAAUAAGGGUAUUAUAGUAUUUAUACAUUGAAAAUUUUAAUUUGGUCUUGCACAAGUGGAAUUAGUCUUGUAUAUAGCCGCAGCCAAAUUUUUAUUUUGGUUGUAUUUUAUUAAGGUUAUUAUAGUCUUUUUAUACUGAAUUUAAUAAAAAAAAUUAAUUUGGUCUUGCCCUAAGUAAUUUUCGUCUUGCAAAUAGUCGCUGCCAAUAAUAAAUUAAAUUUAGGGUAAAUUUUGAAUAUUUUGAAGUGCUAAUUUUCACUAGAAGACUCACAAGUCUGCUUUCCUAUAAACACAACUUGUUUCUUUUUGCCACCAGAAGGUAUGAAAGGAAUACACUACACAGUUACAUACUUCCGGUACAUGUAACACAUCUAACUUGAGUGUCGGACUCUUUAAGUUUAGGACGCAUAAUUACCAAAACCUACUAGAUCCUAUGUUCUUCUUGCAAUAAAAUUUCGAAAAAAAAAAAGAAAAUAAUUCUGAUUUCUGAUUUUCCGAUUUUUUCUUUUUGGACCAAGAUUGGUGUAUAUAUGUUACUUUCCGAAACUAAUACCAAUUGUUUGUUUUUCCCAAAAAUUAGACUUACAAUAUUAAUAUUAUUAUGUAUUUUAUAAUUUAUAUUAUAGGUGCAUAGAAAAUGGAAUCUCUAAUUUCCGCCAAUUUCAGUACAAAGUUUUUAUUUCAAUUUAUGAAAUUUCGAUUUGAGAUUUUCCAUUUUUUUUUUAGAACAUAGAAGAAUUAAUGCAACUCCUUGAAUUCAAUUGGCUAAACUGUUAAACAUCAAGUAAGAUAUUUUUGGUAGAGCAUUAAAAUAUAAAAUAUAUGAAAAUCUCAACCACGGAAAUGUAGACUCAACCUCAGCCUCAAGAUCAUAUACUUACAAAACUUUGUUCAUUUGGAAAUAAAAAAUGUAGAGAAUUAAGUGGACUACAGAUUGGCAACUGGAUAGUGGGUACUAAGUAAUCUUGAAAGCCAAUGAAAUAAAGAGAUAUAGAUAUCAGUAGAUAAGACGACUGAUUGCAGUUCCUCUUCCCGCCUAUUUAUAACUACCAACUACCAAUCUCUACUUUCAUCGCCACCACCUCUUCCUCUUUGAUCAACUAACUGAUAAUAAACCCCAAAAAGAAAAGGAAAAACACUUCCCUUCCUUCAAUGGCUGCUUCUUCAAUGGCUCUAUCUUCUCCGUCUUUCGCCGGACAGGCUGUCAAGCUCUCUCCCGAAGUCACCGGCACCGGCACCGGCAGGAUCUCCAUGAGGAAGACCUCCGCCAAGCCCAAGCCCGCUUCUUCCGGCAGCCCAUGGUACGGCCCUGACCGUGUCAAGUACUUGGGCCCAUUCUCCGGCGAGGCACCUAGCUACCUCACCGGCGAGUUCCCCGGUGACUACGGCUGGGACACCGCCGGACUUUCCGCUGACCCCGAGACAUUCGCCAAGAACCGUGAACUUGAAGUGAUCCACUCAAGGUGGGCCAUGCUUGGUGCUCUUGGAUGCGUCUUCCCCGAGCUAUUGGCCCGCAACGGUGUUAAAUUCGGUGAGGCGGUUUGGUUCAAGGCCGGAUCACAAAUCUUCAGUGAGGGUGGACUCGACUACUUGGGCAACCCAAGCUUGGUCCAUGCUCAGAGCAUAUUGGCCAUAUGGGGUGUCCAGGUUGUAUUGAUGGGAGCUAUUGAGGGCUACAGAAUUGCCGGUGGGCCCCUCGGAGAAGUUGUCGACCCACUUUACCCGGGUGGUAGCUUCGACCCGUUGGGUCUUGCUGAGGAUCCGGAAGCUUUUGCCGAGCUAAAGGUUAAGGAGCUGAAGAACGGGAGACUCGCAAUGUUUUCCAUGUUUGGAUUCUUUGUUCAGGCUAUUGUCACCGGAAAGGGACCGUUGGAGAACCUUGCUGACCACCUUGCCGACCCAGUUAACAACAACGCAUGGGCCUUCGCCACAAACUUCGUACCCGGAAAGUGAGCUUAGGAGCACAAAUUGUUGUUAGUAACGUUGUAUUGGUGUAAAUGAGUGAUUAGUUUUCAGCAUUAAGAAUACGCAUUGUGCCAUUUUUUUUCCUUUGGUUUGAUUAUAUUGAUCGAGUAUGAUAAAUUGUAUAAUCUCAAUGUAUCGAACGUUUGCUUCAUUUAGCGGUCUAUAUAUGGACAAAAAGCAUUUAAUUCCUUUCAGGUGAGAUUGCACAAUCAAUUGCUUACUCAAAAAGAUGUCAAUGGCAAAGAAACACCGAGGAGUACAAUUGGACCAUCUUCGUGUCGCUGUUGAAACCCUCACGCCUCCGUCUGUUUCGAUGGCUUAUCCCGUUUAUUCUCUGCAAAUAUUUUCUGAUGGCGCGAGAUAUUUGCAACUCUCCCCCCAUACUAUUCUGCAAAGCUGAGAAUCUGCAAAUUACUUGAGAAAAUUCAGAGCUUACCUUGAGUAUGCGACGCACACGUGUGUAGAGUUGGUUUCAGUCACAAGCCAUCAUAGAUAAUUUGGAUGAUCUUUGGUAAAUCCCCAAUCUCUGGGAAGUUCACUAUUCAUGUAAAUUCAACUGUAAUGAAUUAUUGGAGGAAGAACAUGAACAAGAGAAAUCGAGCUUUUGGUGGGUAAUCCUUCCAUGGUCACUUUUUUAUUCAACAAAAGCAAAUACGUACGAGUUUAAAAAAAUCCAGCCCAAAUCUAUCCUAUCACCACUAACCUACCAAUCCAUAUCACCUGCCAUUGUUCAUGGAUAAUGGAUUUAAGUUAUGUGCGUAUAUACAUGUAUACAUCGAGAACUGAAUAAUCACUGAUGCUUGUUGUCUAAGCUCGAAAAUCUUUUGUUUUUCAAUUGCAGAUAAAUCAUUUAGAUUGAAUUGAAUUGAAAUCCAUCACUAGAUAUUCAAUUGUUAGUUGUUACCAGGCCUUUAACAUUAUGAAUCGACUAACGAAAUCGGAGAAUCAAAGAAUUGACAUUUCAACCGUUGUAUUCCGACUAAGAAUUCCUGAAUAAAGUGGGAAUCACACAUGCAUUAAUUCACACACAUAAUUAGUUGAUAAUAAGUAACCAGAAUAUAUUGUUUCAGCUAAUGUUCGACAAUUGUUUAUGGCACAAUUUAUGAGGGGUAUGGCCGAGGGAGGUCCGAUUCUGUAAGUUCAGUCCCUUUAAAAAUGAAGAAAAACUAACCAUCAGUUGCAAUAUUUGGUGAUUCCUAUGUCGGAAUCUGAUCAACUGAUCUACAAAUAUAAUGGAUAGUCUGUUUAUGGCCAGACAUCAACUGUACUCCGAUUGUAUGCAUGUCUUGUUCAAAUGCACUGUGUAAAAAUCCCGAAUUAGUCCAUUGGAGAUGUUAUAUUUCAAUUAUAUUGUUGUUCUUUGUUAAGGAUUUCUAUCCAUUUAUGCCUAAAUCUUAUCUUCAAUAUUGAAUCUUUUUUCAUUUAUAUCUCGGUGUGUAGAUAGUUUGACAGCUUCGUAGUUGAUAGCUCUUCUAGUUUUUGCAGCUUAGUUGGUACGUGAUACUCAUCGGAUUUGUUACUAUGACUCGAGCACCGGAAAAGCAGAUUCACAUUCGUUGAAUCCCAUAUAAAUAGCAUUAUAUAAAAUAUAUCAAUAAUUUACAUCAGCCUUAAUUCAUUACACUCUUCUAUGUGAACUUCACUUUCCAGGUACGAAGUUUGUGGCAAAUGCCCAGGCAUUGUUGUUAACUGGGUCGGCAAGAUGGUCAGCGAGGUUCUCCAAUGGUCCCUUUCCGGUAACAAUAGCUUGAACAAAGAAUCCGAACAUGGAGAACAUUGCAAGUCUCCCAUUCUUCAGCUCCUUUACCUUUAGCUCAGCGAAAGCUUCCGGAUCCUCGGCAAGGCCCAAUGGGUCGAAGCUACCACCGGGGUAAAGUGGGUCAACAACCUCUCCGAGGGGCCCACCGGCAAUUCUGUAGCCCUCAAUAGCUCCCAUCAAUACAACCUGGACACCCCAUAUGGCCAAUAUGCUCUGAGCAUGGACCAAGCUUGGGUUGCCCAAGUAGUCGAGUCCACCCUCGCUGAAGAUCUGAGAUCCGGCCUUGAACCAAACCGCCUCACCGAAUUUAACACCGUUGCGUGCCAAAAGCUCGGGGAAGACACAUCCAAGAGCACCAAGCAUGGCCCACCUGGAGUGGAUCACUUCAAGUUCACGGUUCUUGGCGAAUGUCUCGGGGUCGGCGGAAAGUCCGGCGGUGUCCCAGCCGUAGUCACCGGGGAACUCACCGGUGAGGUAGCUAGGUGCCUCACCGGAGAAAGGACCCAAAUACUUGACACGGUCAGGGCCGUACCAUGGACUGCCGGAUGCGGCGGGCUUGGGCUUGGCGGCGGUCUUCCUCAUUGAGAACCUGCCGGUGGUGGUGAAUUCGGGGGUGGACUUGACUGCCUGCCCGGCGAAAGUGGGGGAAGACAAGGCCAUUGAAGAGGCAGCCAUUUAUGGAAAUGGAAGGGAAGUGUUUGCUUUCUUGAGUGUGUAUGAGUAGAAAGAGGGAAGUAAGUAGUGUUGGUGAUGAUGACAAGGGAAGAUGGCAGUUAUUUUAUAGCUAGACGGGAGGAGGAGGUUGCUUCGACCAGACACCCGGUGAAAAACACCGGGUGUAGGGUCGAACAAAUCGGAGGAGGAAUGGUGGUUGAUCUUAUCCUGUGAUAUCUAGCCUAUCUCUUCUUUCAUUGGGUUUUCAAGAUCCCAUUGUAUCUAAGAUUUUUUUUUGGAGUUCUGCCAAUAAUAUCUCAAUUGAACACUCUGUAACUGGGACAUUCGGACUUGUACAUUAUUACAGAUAAUGAGCAAAGACAAAAGAAAAGUUUACAUUACUCUUAAUAAAUUAGUACAAGUACAUUUAAACUACAAAAUUAUCCUUUUAUUUGAAAAAUUAAAUAUAUACCCCUAAAAACUAAUUAUGUGUAACAAACUUUAAUAGAGAUUAUGAAAUAUUUUUUUUGCCACUGAAAAAGAAAAUUGUUAGAAUAUCCCAACAUUGAAAUGGAUGUUUUGCCCUUGUAUUAUUUAUUUUUUUUUAAAUGAAUUUUUUCAUAAAAAAAUAUUUUAUAAUUUAGAAGGUUACUUUCUCUUUUUUUUUUUUUUUUUUUUUUGAGAAUAAAGGUUACUUUCUCUUACUCAUACGUGUAUGCAGUGGCGAAUCCAGGAUUUUUGCCAAGGGUGUUCGAAAUUAAAUAUAGUAAAAAAUAUAAUGGUUGGCUAACAGUUUACGGGGGUUCGGGGGCAGCGUCCCCGAUUUUUUUUUUUUUUGAAUACUGUACACAUUAAAUAAUAAAAAAAAAAAAAUUUAAAGGGAUUAGUUUACCAUUUUUGGGCAAAUUUAGAAAAUAUUUAAACAUAAAAUUGGUGAAAAUAUUAAAGGAGUGGUAAACAUAUUAAAGUUGCAAGUGACAAAAUGUACGUUUCAUUAUCAUAUUUUGAAUGUUCAAAAAGAAAAAAAAAACUCACAUAGUUGUAAAUAUAGAAAAAAAAUUGAAAUAAUACAUAUAUAUACAAUAUUUAGAAUUUUGGAAUAAUUUAUAUUAUAUUUAAUAUUAAAGAAAUGGUAAAUAAAUUAAAGUUACAAAUAGCAAAAUAUAUGUUAUAUUAGGAGAUUUUUUUUAAAUAUUAAAAAAUACCUACAUAUUCAACAUUUUUUAAAACAAUUGAAAUAUUGAAUUUUGGAAUAAUUUAUAUUAUAUUUAAUAUUAAAGAAAUGGUAAAUAAAUUAAAGUUACAAAUAGCAAAAUAUAUGUUAUAUUAGGAGAUUUUUUUUUAAAUAUUAAAAAAUACCCACAAAUUCAACAUUUUUUAAAACAAUUGAAAUAUUCUAUGUAAUGGAAAAUUAGGAAUAAAAAAGAAAAAAUAAUAGAGAGGUUCAGACUCUUGUAAAGGUCUCGAACCCUGUACCUCUGCAUGAUUCUAUAGAGCACUUAACCAGUUAAGCUACAGCAAUGCAUUGGCCAGGUUUUACAUUUGCAGUUAUAUAGUACUAAAUAUAUACGAAAUAUAUUUUUUUUAAAAUCAAGGGUGUGCAGUAGCACACCCUUGGACCACACUAGAUACGCCACUGCGUGUAUGUCACUCGUACAAGAUGAAAUUCAGUAAAUAUUCUGGUCAGCAAAUUUUUCUAUUUUUUAUAAUUUCACCAGUCUGGUUGUUAAUUUUCAUCUUUUGGUGGAAGCAUUAGUUGUUUACUACUCUCUUUGAACAUUAUUUACAGUACAGUAAGAAAAGCUCUAGAACAUAAACUAACUAAAAAUAGUACUCUGCGAUUGGAUUCCUGAAGUCCAGUACACUUGAUGUUGUGGCAAUGCUUCAAUAUCAGGAUUUCCAGAUAUCCACACCAGAGCUCCGAUCCUCAUCCAUGCAUCUCGAUUUUCAUAAAUCAAUCUCCAGCCGCACACUUGGCAGAACCUCAUUGGCCAAAAGAUCCCAAGAGGAUUAGUGGUGAUAGCCGUUGCCAACUGUACAUAUAUGCCACGUCAAGAUUACCGAAUAUCGCCUGCCUAGCAAUAGCAACCUAGAUAAGGAUAUUCAUAGAUAAGCCCGAUUCAUAUAAAUACAUUCCCUCGUCUGCCUUAGAAAUAAACCCAUCAACAAACACAAACAGCCUCCUUUGCAAAUAAAUACACAUUCUUUCAUUUCAUAAUAUACAUCAAUGGCUGCCUCUUCAAUGGCCUUGUCUUCCCCCACUUUCGCCGGACAGGCAGUCAAAUCCACCCCUGAAUUCACCACCACCGGCAGGUUCUCAAUGAGGAAGACCGCCGCCAAGCCCAAACCUGCAUCGUCGGGCAGCCCAUGGUACGGCCCCGACCGUGUCAAAUAUUUGGGCCCAUUCUCCGGUGAGGCCCCCAGCUACUUGACCGGCGAAUUCCCCGGUGACUACGGUUGGGACACCGCUGGGCUUUCGGCUGACCCUGAAACGUUCUCCAAGAACCGUGAGCUUGAAGUGAUCCACUCCAGGUGGGCCAUGCUAGGUGCUCUUGGAUGUGUCUUCCCCGAGCUAUUGGCUCGCAACGGUGUUAAAUUCGGUGAGGCGGUUUGGUUCAAGGCCGGAUCACAAAUCUUCAGCGAAGGUGGGCUCGAUUAUUUGGGCAACCCAAGCUUGGUCCAUGCUCAGAGCAUCUUGGCCAUUUGGGGAGUCCAGGUUGUAUUAAUGGGAGCUAUCGAAGGCUAUAGAAUUGCCGGUGGGCCCCUCGGUGAAGUUGUCGACCCACUUUACCCCGGUGGUAGCUUCGACCCAUUGGGUCUUGCUGAGGAUCCGGAAGCUUUUGCGGAGCUCAAGGUUAAGGAGCUAAAGAAUGGAAGACUUGCAAUGUUCUCGAUGUUCGGAUUCUUUGUUCAAGCUAUCGUCACCGGAAAAGGACCAUUGGAGAACCUUGCUGACCACCUAGCUGACCCGGUUAACAACAAUGCAUGGGCCUUUGCCACUAACUUCGUACCCGGAAAGUGAAAUUGACAUAGGUAAUGAUGAAUUCGGAUUGAUUAAUUAAGGAUGAUGUAUGUAAAGUAGUGUGAAUUAUUGGAAUAAUUAAUAUAAUGUGGUUUUAUGUGCUUCAACGAUUUCUAUUGUUGCUUUUGCAUUCAUAUAAACAAACCUAAAUUGAGUUAGAUUACAUUAUAUUCACAAGGAAAUUAUGUUCAUAUUAUUUGAAGAACUUUUGUCCGUGCGGAUAAUCUCAAUCUGCUCAAUAAAUUAUCUGUUCAUCUGCUUACUUGGGAAAGUACUCAACGCCGACGUUUUGGCUGUGGCUAAUGGGCUAAUUACAUCAUCUAAUCAUACUCGCGCGGAUUUGAAGAUCCAGAAGUUAUGGGCCCAACGGAAGUGUUCAGAAAUCUCUCUCUCUCUCUCGCUUAUUUCUCUGUCUUCUUCGGUUCUUCACUCUUUCCUAUUUCAUAUCUUCAUUUCUGCAAAUUAUAUAUAAAAAACCUUCCAAUUCUGCAUGUUGUUCUUUAAACAGUUUCUCUUGAGAUCAGAUUUGAUGAGAUUCGGUGUGCAUAUCACCUGUUUGAUGAAAUUUAUGUGCGAACGAAAUUUGACAUCUUGCAAACUUUUUAGUAACAGAGGUAUUAGAAAAACUAAGAUCAACCAAUAAAAAUAUUAAGCAACUGUAACUCCGAAAAUCAUCAAGUUCUUGAAAGCCAAAAUCUGAAGUUGGGCGUUUUAUAUAUGGGCUGGAUUAGUUCUUGAAAGCCCAAAUAUGUUAAAAAAUUAAUAACAUCGAUUAUUUCUUCCAUUAGAUCAAACCCAUAUACACGAGGCAUUGCAUUAAUGCUUAAUACUAAUCACUCAUUUACACUAGAGAAUUAACAACAAUAGUGGGCUCACAUUAUCCCAACUGAAAACACAUUCACUUUCCCGGUACGAAGUUGGUGGCAAAGGCCCAUGCGUUGUUGUUAACCGGGUCAGCAAGGUGGUCGGCAAGGUUCUCCAACGGUCCCUUUCCGGUAACAAUAGCCUGAACAAAGAAUCCGAACAUGGAAAACAUUGCUAGUCUCCCGUUCUUUAGCUCCUUAACCUUUAGCUCGGCAAAAGCUUCUGGAUCCUCAGCAAGACCC
Molecule: long non-coding RNA, 14208 nt
Filed under: Erythranthe guttata (spotted monkey flower)
Lineage: Eukaryota; Viridiplantae; Streptophyta; Magnoliopsida; Lamiales; Phrymaceae
Description: long non-coding RNA (EGUT_LNC002454)
Source: RNAcentral